UACAGGGGGUGCAAACGUUGCUCGGAAUUAUUGGGCGUAAAGCGCGCGUAGGCGGCUAUCUAAGUCGGAUGUGAAAGCCCCUGGCUUAACUGGGGAAGUGCACCCGAAACUGGGUAGCUAGAGUGCAAAAGAGGGUCGCGGAAUUCCCGGUGUAGAGGUGAAAUUCGUAGAUAUCGGGAGGAACACCGGUGGCGAAGGCGGCGACCUGGGUUGACACUGACGCUGAGGCGCGAAAGCGUGGGGAGCAAACAGG
Molecule: ribosomal RNA, 253 nt
Filed under: uncultured bacterium
Lineage: Bacteria
Description: partial 16S ribosomal RNA
Rfam family: Bacterial small subunit ribosomal RNA
Source: RNAcentral